Molecule: long non-coding RNA, 2069 nt
Organism: Homo sapiens (human)
Lineage: Eukaryota; Metazoa; Chordata; Mammalia; Primates; Hominidae
Gene: ARLNC1
Product: androgen receptor regulated long noncoding RNA 1
Source: Ensembl
GGAGUUUGAGACGUCUAGGCAACACAGCAAGAUCCAUUUGGUCCAAAGGUGAUGGAUCUCUGCAGUAAGUGGAAGAGUUCUUCAUGGCCCCCAAGGUUAUAUCCAUCUAGAACUUCAGCACGUAAUUUCAUCUGGAAAUAGUGCCUUUGCGGAUAUAAGUUAGGUAAAACUGAAGAUGAGAUCAUACUGGAUUAGGAUGGGAUCUAAAUCCAAUGAAAAUGUCUUCAUAAAAAACAGGAAAGAACCCAUAGAAACACAAGGAAGAAGGUCAUGUGAAGAUGGAGGCAGAGAUUGGAGGGAUGCAGCCACCGGCCCAGGAAUGCCAGCAGCCACCCAGAAGCUGGAAGGAAAUGAGGGAUUCUCUCCUAGAACCUUUAGAGAGAACAUGGUCCUGUGAACAGCUUGAUUUUGGACUUGCCCAUAGCUUGUAUACUCUUACUUUGGAUACAAUUUUAUCCAAACUUGGCUAAACAGUUUCUCAGCCUAUGGAAAAUUUAAAAUGGAGAAGAUUCAACUCGAUUCUUACAGAUUCAAAGCAAGAAAAUGAUGGGAACAUAGGAGGAGACCAAGAAAGCCUAUAAAAAGCAAAAAUAUGAAGUGAACAUUGUGGUAGCUUUAAGAUGUUUAGUGUAGCUGCAGGCACCCUAUACACAUGAAAACCCCCAAGGGGAAUCCCCAUAUCACAGUGUAGUGUGAUAUUUGACAUUCGUGAUCAUCUAGAGAUGUACAGAAAAGGUGAAUCUGUGUUCUGUAUAUUCUGCCUAAGGCAAAGAAAUGUUUAGCUCUCUUUAAAAUAGUUCCAUAAUUUUUUCUAAAAAGCUUUGCUUGAAAACUGUAAGCUUCCCAUAUCUGGAGCAUUUCACUUUAAAUAUUUGGAUAAAUAUGUUAUCUUCUUACUUGGACAUUUCAUGUGUUUAGGGAUUGUCUUCUAAAUUCUUCCUAAUUCAUAUAGCUGCUAACACUUCCCGCAGAGCUAAACCAUUACAGAUAUGAAAUAAAGACCUAUUGAUUUGACUUACUUUUACUUGUAAAACCUUCUGAGUGUUAUAACCUCAUUUAAUCUUUCAGCAUUUACAGUUUCAAGAGUUUGUGUCACAAUUAGAAGAAUUCAGCUGCACCUCCAAGUGACAGCAGUUGCUCUGGUUGGUGGGUGAUCUCAGGAGGCUUGAGAAUUGCUUUGUCUGUGAGGGAAGUAAGACAUUUUCAGAGCCCCACUUUAGAAGGUGUGAACUGGCUAGAUAAUGAACCCCAGGGCUAACGCUGCUAUAGCAGUGGGAAGGAGGUGAUGGGUUUUCAGUUUGGACCUCAAACAUCAAUACCCUCCUGGUACGGGGAGGAACAGAGUCCCUCCUUUACUUCUCCAUUAGAAAGAAUGAGAUGGCAAGACAAUGAAACAGGCAAAGUGAACAGAGAUGCAAGACAAAAUUCAGGUGAGAGAGCCAGAGCAUCACUCAGCCAUUCCUGACAUGUAAAACAGGCAACUAGAAAUUUGCAGAAAGGAAGCGAAGUCUCCAUAAAGAUGUUUUUAAAGUGAGCUUGAAGUAUUUGGAGACAAUUCAGUGUUACAUAAAAUCUGCAAAUCUCUGGAUAAAGAAGCAGAGAUCCCAGCAUGGGACAAAUGGAGCCUCAAAAGUGGGAAGAAGACAGAGAAGACCAGGGCAGAAUGCAUCUCUUCCUUUCUCUUGGCUUUCCUGGAUAAGGACUGCAUCAUUCCUGUGGAAGGACAGGCCAUCAGCUCCGAAACACUGUAUGUAUUUUCCAGUAUAUACUGCUAGCUGUGUGAUGUUGGGAAAAUUUGUUACCCUGUCUAACCCCCACUUCCCUCAUCUGUAAAAUGGAAAUAAUGAUAGUACCUACCUAUCUCAUAGGUGGCAACUACAAGGGGCAGCACACUCAGGGAAUUAAGGAAGUUUCAGUGAACAUCAACUUUAUGAACACAGUGUUCAUAAAGGCAGGUCAGUGCAGUGGUUUGGGAGCCAGGAGAAGCACGUGGGCCGGAGUGUGCCUGCAGGAGACAAGGUCAGAGAUGUUGCUAAUAAUGGAGAAUAAAGGAUGCAUUCUCAUUACUG